Molecule: non-coding RNA, 195 nt
Organism: Caenorhabditis elegans
Lineage: Eukaryota; Metazoa; Nematoda; Chromadorea; Rhabditida; Rhabditidae
Source: Ensembl
GCCCUCCGAGGAGCCGGGUUUCUUUUUUCCGCCUUCUUCGCCAUCGUCUUCUUCUUCGUUUUUCUACUUUUUUAUGUGAUGUUAGCUAGAAGAAACGGCUGAAGAUCAAGAAACUUUUUUUUUGAGUGUAUCUGCAUUUUUUUUUUUCAUGCUGCUCGUCAACACUUGAAAAGCAAAAUAGAAGAUUUUCAAAAA